Molecule: RNA transcript, 3037 nt
Organism: Cololabis saira (Pacific saury)
Lineage: Eukaryota; Metazoa; Chordata; Actinopteri; Beloniformes; Belonidae
Gene: prkag3b
Gene name: protein kinase, AMP-activated, gamma 3b non-catalytic subunit
Exons: 14
Source: RefSeq, a predicted model, not a curated record
UUAUAUAACAUUGUGGUUCUAAAAGCAGCACAUCAGUGCAGCUGGUUUCAAAGAGUUAAUUCUCAGAAACAAGAGUUAAAAGAUCCUUAAAUUAAUUUAGAAAAAAUAUAGCAAUUUACUGAUGUGGAAAAUAAGAAAUGUACUCUUAGUCUUACUUUUACUUAAAGUAAAUUUAAAAGCAUUUACUUUUAGACUUAAGUACCUUUUAAAAGCAAGUACUUUUCUACUCUUACUCGAGUAAUAUUUUGACUGAGCUACUUUUACUUGUAACGGAGUAAAUUUUGACCAGUAGUAUUUGUACUCUUACUCAAGUGCUGGGGUCGAGUACUCUGUCCACCUCUGGAUUUGCAUCACAAAUAUGUUAAUAAUUAUCUGCGUGUCCAGCAGUGUGUGACUGGCGGCUUUUGGCCAUCAAUGAACUCCCCUCCGGAUCAGCUGUUUGAUUCCCGCUGGGAUCUGUUGAGCUAUUUUGAGUUUUUCAAGUGCAGCGUUUACCUUUUGCCGCCCUCAAGUGGCCACAUAGGCCUUUCACCCCUCAGUCCAGAUUUAGACCAGAGUCCCUCCCAGAGAGUCGGACCCAGCUGUCUGAAGGCGACUGCUGGUUCACAGAUUUCCUCGUCAGAUUCCUGUUGCAUGGUCCAGGUCCCUCUCCUGCUCUUGUUCAGCGCGCCGGGACUGCUUCAUCUUCAGCGCCUCUUCCUCUGACAUGGUGACAGAGCCUUGCUCAGCUCUCUGGUGGACAGUUUUGUUGUCUUUGAUGCCCAGGACUCUGCCAGUCCCUGUGGCUCUGCAGACCUCUCUUCCUCUUCACCCAUGGAGCCUUAUGCGGAGGUUCCCUUGUUUGAAUUCGAUGACUACGAUGAGGAGGAUGUUCUCUCUGCAAAGAGCAAAGGUGCGUAUACAUACGCAGUGCACCCUAUGGUGCCCCCUGCAGGCGUGGAUCCAGACACCUUCAUUUAUAUGAACUUCAUGAAGACUCACUCGUGCUACGACGCCAUCCCCACCAGCUCCAAACUGGUCAUCUUUGACACAACAUUACAGGUGAAAAAGGCCUUCUUUGCUCUGGUGGCGAACGGCGUGAGGGCAGCACCACUGUGGGACAACAAGCUGCAGUGUUUUGUUGGUAUGCUGACCAUCACAGACUUCAUCAACAUUCUCCAUCGUUACUACAAGUCUCCUCUGGUUCAAAUCUACGAGCUGGAAGAACACAAGAUAGAGACGUGGAGAGAAAUCUACUUAAAAUGCUCGAUUAACAGACUCAUCAGCAUCACACCUGAAUCCAGUCUCUUUGAUGCCAUCUACUCCCUGUUGAAGUAUAAAAUCCACCGGCUGCCAGUCAUCGACCCAACAUCGGGAAACGUCCUCCACAUCCUCACUCACAAGCGCAUCCUCAAAUUCCUGCACAUCUUUGGAUCCAUGAUCCCUAAACCCAGGUUCCUUCACAAGAUGAUCAGCGAGGUGCCGAUCGGCACUUUCAAGGAGAUUGCAACAGUCCAGGAAUCUGCAUCUGUAUACGAAGCUCUCUCCAUUUUUGUUGAGAGAAGAGUGUCAGCGCUGCCUGUGAUCAACGAGCAAGGUAAAGUGGUGGCACUGUACUCCAGGUUCGAUGUCAUUAAUCUCGCUGCCCAGAAAAACUACAACAACUUGAACAUGACCAUGCGGGAGGCCAUUGCGUCCAGAUGCCACUGGGUGGAGGGAGUGCUCAAGUGUUACCCUCAUGAAACGCUGGAGACCAUCAUCGACCGCAUUGCAAAAGCUGAGGUGCAUCGGCUGGUGUUGGUUGACAAUGACGAUGUGGUGAGGGGAAUUGUUUCUCUGUCAGACCUCCUGCAAUCCCUGGUCCUCACCCCUGCAGGUAUUGACGCUCUGUACUCCUAACGACAACCCUUCCAUCCAUCCAUCUCCUCCUCCUUCAGUCCCACCCAUCCACCUAUCUGCCUUCCAAUCCUCGCAAGCUUCCUGCUGCCUAUGCUGAGUUUUUCAUCCUCCUGAUGGCUACAAGAGUCUUUCUUCUCAUCUUUCCAACCCUGGCAUGCUCAUCCCUCCAUGAAAUCUCCUCUUAAUCCUUUCAGCUGUCCUCUUGCUUUCCUGCCAAGAAUGGUUGUCCUUAUUACAGACCCACAUCCCUGAAGCAGCCAGCUCCUCCAAGAAAGCUUUUUUUUUACUUAAGUCUUCUAAGUCCCCCGCCACCUCAGAGACCUUUUUUUUUUUUGUUUUCUUGUUUGGAUUCUUGUUUGAGUUUAUCAGCUUCUUUCUUCCAACGUCGUAAUUCUCACCUGAAGAAUAAAACAAAACCUUGCAAAGAUAUCUCCUGCAAAAUUCAACAAAAGCAUCUAAAACAAAAACUUUCUCUACUGCAUAGCAAACUGAUACUUAAUCUUCCACUUAGACGAGAUUUGUUGGUUCCUGCACCUCCACCAGUUUCCUUUCGUUCCGCCACGCAGCUGAGAGAAUCCUCGAAACUUCUCCCCCAAAUCAGCCUCUUCAGCGUGACGUCACCCCCCCAUGUCUUUUCCCCAACGUCCCACGUUCCUCCAUUCAGCCCGCGACACCAUGCUGCACUUCAUCCGCCGAAACUACAAGAACCUGGCAGAUAUUUACAAGUGUCCAUCUUUCCAACACUGAAGAAAUCAAGAUAGUGGCUGGUGAUGUAUUACUUAAACUUUGAGGUAAAAAAAGGGAAUCAAGGGUUCAGGGGAGCAGAGCAGUGGCUGACGAAGCCUUUGGCUUCACAGAGUUGAGAAGCAGAAGCGCGUUCAGCCUCCACUAUCCUCGAGAACUAGAACGCUCUAACGGUUCCCAGUAGAACACCUUCCACUUUGGACCUGAUGAUGUGCUUCCUGACACUUUGGCUGCAAACGAACCUUUGAGUUGAUUUCUUAGACCAGGUUGUCGUUGCAACACAAGGACAGAGAUUGUGUUUAUUCGUAUGUUGGAAUUGAGAUUUUUUAUUUUUUUGGGGGGGUGGUAAAGUUUCUUAUCUUAUCCAUACACUGUGGAAAAUAAACAUCUUGCUGUGUUUGACCACCCUUAAAAA